RNAcentral lists this long non-coding RNA (224 nucleotides) under Gossypium barbadense (sea-island cotton). RNAcentral describes it as "long non-coding RNA (GBAR_LNC002260)". The record is from RNAcentral. Lineage: Eukaryota; Viridiplantae; Streptophyta; Magnoliopsida; Malvales; Malvaceae.
GAAGACGGAAAAGAUGUGAGAUCGAGGAAAAAAUCCCGUUUGAACCUUAGGAAUAGAUUAGGAUACAAGUGACAUGUCACUGGAAUAUUUGGGCAUCCGAACUCGUUGAGUUGAGUCCGAGUUCACUUAUGGAUGCGAGCGUCCGAACUCGUUGAGUUGAGUCCGAGUUCGUGAGAUGUAACUAGGCAUCCGAGCUCGAUGAGUUGAGUCCGAGUUCACUUAUG